This 250-nucleotide ribosomal RNA is filed under the name uncultured bacterium. Its description in RNAcentral is "partial 16S ribosomal RNA". It matches the Rfam family "Bacterial small subunit ribosomal RNA", at positions 1243 to 1500 of the family's 1533-position model. The record is from RNAcentral.
AGGGCAGCUACCCAGCGAUGGGAUGCGAAUCUCGAAAGCCUGUCUCAGUUCGGAUUGGAGGCUGAAACCCGCCUCCAUGAAGUUGGAUUCGCUAGUAAUCGCGCAUCAGCCAUGGCGCGGUGAAUACGUUCCCGGGCCUUGUACACACCGCCCGUCAAGCCAUGGAAGCUGGGGGGUGCCUGAAGUUCGUGACCGGAAGGAGCGACCUAGGGCAAAACCGGUGACUGGGGCUAAGUCGUAACAAGGUACC